CCAGCUGCGUCUUGUCCAGCUAAUACCGCUACGCCCAUUCCUCCUUACUAGACCGCCCUCACAGUAACGCCCCUUUGGCUGUUCAAGUUUCUGAAGUCAGUGACAUGCUGCCGAAUGACAACACAAGCGCCGCGCGGGACUUAUUAAAACGACUGGAUGGAUUUCGCUGGAUGGAUUUCGCUGCAGCGAUCACUCAACUGUCGAUAUAAGAAGUUGGGGUUGGGGUUGAUGAUCCACAUGAUGGUGAUGGACCAGGACAGCUCUGGACCUGGACCUCCUGACUGGCAGCUCCAUCCUCAACCUCCCUUCCUGUCCUUCACACAUGUGCAGGCAGAGGCAGUUUUCUGAAGGAUGGUUAAUGUCAGUACCAACAUGUUGUGAUGGAGGCUUCCACCUGAGCUGAACACAGAAACUUGCACACAGUGAUGGAAGCAGUCGUUCCUGUUCAGCAUUGAUAUGCCGGUAAUGGGUUUGAUGAGCCACAGCAUGGUGAUGGGCAAUCAGCAUCAGGACCAGGGCCGCUCACAAGGAGAACCUCCUGCCCUGCCUCUUCAUCCUCAACCUCCAAUCUUCCUGCUCUUCACACAUGUGCAGGCACAGAGCCAGUUUUCAGAGGGAGGGCUGAUGACACCAGCAACUUCGGAUCUGAACCUGAUCAACCCAGCACCAACCACUGUGCCGCUCCUCCUCUGCCAACUGCACCACAUGGCUCCACCAUCUCAAAAAGGCACAGACACUACUCCACUUCCUGCGAAGGAUGAGAGAAGAGCCGACCUCCCCACAACGGCACUCACCACCUUCUACAGGGGUGUCAUUGAGAGCAUCCUGACCAGCAGCCUCUCUGUCUGGCAUGGCAGCCGUCAAGCUGAAGACUAGGGGUGCAUCCCAAUAUGUGACCUUGCCUCCUCCACUUGUGCUUGUCUCCUCGU
Long non-coding RNA from Engraulis encrasicolus (European anchovy), 929 nucleotides. RefSeq lists it as uncharacterized. The record is from RefSeq and is a predicted model, not a curated record. Lineage: Eukaryota; Metazoa; Chordata; Actinopteri; Clupeiformes; Engraulidae. The transcript is spliced from 5 exons.